Carassius auratus (goldfish) is the source of this 687-nucleotide long non-coding RNA. RefSeq lists it as uncharacterized. The record is from RefSeq and is a predicted model, not a curated record. NCBI's taxonomy places the organism in Eukaryota, Metazoa, Chordata, Actinopteri, Cypriniformes, Cyprinidae. The transcript is spliced from 3 exons.
CAAUCAAAUACAAGAACUCGUCUCUAUGGAAACACUGAACGCUAAAACAGGAAAGGCUAAACAAAGCUAAGGAAAUCCAGGUGGUUUUAACACAUCAGUCUUGUUUCACUUCUCCACAAUCAUCCACACUAUCAGACAAACGCAGGUGGUGUGGUAUUGUUGUCUGAGUCUUAUGAUUGUGUGCAUCCUCUUUAUGUGGCUAUUGAAAGCUGUCUUCGCACCUGCUCGGAUUCCUGUUGGGUUUAUCCUUCUGCUGUUUUGGUGAUGAGGUCUGAAAAAUCUACCAGUAACACGUUUUCUCUUGUCCAUUUACAGGUGACAAAAGAUGAAUUCUGGAACUAUUACUGUGGAGUCUUCUGUUGAUGUUGUAUAUUUUAUUUCAAUGAUGAAAACUGCAUGGAAGUUAUGAGGAGUUUUAAGGAUACUAAAAAUGAAUCUGGCAAAAAAGUUAAAUUCCUAAAUUCUGUGUAAAAUGUGUUUAUCAGUAACAAAAUAUGUUUAGGGUAAAAUUACUGCAUCCAUCAUAUUUGUUGUAUAUAUUGAUACAUGAAAGUAUUGUAAUUCAGAUUUAUUUAUGCAUACAAUGGCAGAGCUUAUUUUACAAAAUGUGACUCAUUUAAUAAAUGUUUUACAAUGGUUAUAAAAAUGAAAAAUCUCUUCAUAUGAAAUGUAAAACAUUCUAUGGAU